Molecule: ribosomal RNA, 437 nt
Rfam family: Bacterial small subunit ribosomal RNA
ACGGGAGGCAGCAGUGGGGAAUAUUGGGCAAUGGGCGAAAGCCUGACCCAGCAACGCCGCGUGAAGGAAGAAGGCCUUCGGAUUGUAAACUUCUUUUAUGUAGGACGAAGGAAGUGACGGUACUACAUGAAUAAGCCACGGCUAACUACGUGCCAGCAGCCACGGUAAUACGUAGGUGGCAAGCGUUAUCCGGAUUUACUGGGUGUAAAGGGCGCGUAGGCGGGGAUGCAAGUCAGAUGUGAAAUCCAUGGGCUCAACUCAUGAACUGCAUUUGAAACUGUAUCUCUUGAGUGCUGGAGAGGUAGAUGGAAUUCCUAGUGUAGCGGUGAAAUGCGUAGAUAUUAGGAAGAACACCAGUGGCGAGGGCGAUCUACUGGACAGUAACUGACGCUGAGGCGCGAAAGCGUGGGGAGCAAACAGGAUUAGAUACCCUGGUA